AUGAAGGCACUCUCUAUGGAUUAUGAGAAAAUAGAUGUUUGCCCGAAGAAAUGCCUUUUGUUUAGGCAUGAGUAUGCGGAUGACAAGUACUGUAGGCAGUGCGGUUCAUCUCGGUACAUUGAGGUGGUCGGUGAGGAUGGUGAGAAAAAGCAGCUAACCAUCCCUGUUAAGGUUCUUCGAUAUCUUGAUUUUACAAAAAGACUACAACGCCUUUUCAUCACGAAGGAGUCUGCCAAAAUGAUGAAGUGGCACAAGGAAGGUAUAAGGUACAAUCCAAAAAAAAUCAUACAUCCAUCGGAAGGGGAAGCAUGGAAGUUGUUUGAUGAAGAAUACCCCGAGGAAGCAGCCGAGGCUGGGAAUGUCAGAAUAGCCAUAUCAGGUGAUGGGUUGAAUCCAUAUGGUAUGUCGUCCAAUCCAUACAGCUGCUGGCCCAUGUUUGUAAUUCCGCUCAAUCUUCCUCCCGGUGCCCUAAUGCAACACAAGACCAUGUUCUUGUCGCUCAUCAUUCCGGGGCCUAAUUAUCCGGGGAAGCAAUUGGGUGUGUUUAUGCAGCUGCUGGUGGAUGCUUUGCACCAUUCUUGGUACUUUCCAACGUUGACAUACGACCGGGAUUUGCAGAGAAAUUUCUUGAUGAAAGUUUGGUUGCACUGGCCUGCGGCCUGCCCUGGCCGGCCCUCCUCUUCUCCCUUAGGGCCCAUGUAG
This 702-nucleotide ribosomal RNA is filed under the name Triticum aestivum (bread wheat). RNAcentral's name for it is "partial small subunit ribosomal RNA". The record is from RNAcentral. Lineage: Eukaryota; Viridiplantae; Streptophyta; Magnoliopsida; Poales; Poaceae.